RNAcentral lists this ribosomal RNA (994 nucleotides) under Metacinops rhinomacer. RNAcentral describes it as "SSU rRNA". It matches the Rfam family "Eukaryotic small subunit ribosomal RNA", at positions 441 to 1416 of the family's 1831-position model. Lineage: Eukaryota; Metazoa; Arthropoda; Insecta; Coleoptera; Brachyceridae. The record is from RNAcentral.
UUACCAACUCCCGGCACGGGGAGGUAGUGACGAAAAAUAACGAUACGGGACUCAUCCGAGGCCCCGUAAUCGGAAUGAGUACACUCUAAACCCUUUAACGANNAUCAAUUGGAGGGCAAGUCUGGUGCCAGGAGCCGCGGUAAUUCCAGCUCCAAUAGCGUAUAUUAAAGUUGUUGCGGUUAAAAAGCUCGUAGUCGAAUUUGUGUCUCGUGCCGCCGGUUCAUNNUCGCGCGGUGUUAACUGGCGAGUCGCGAGACNUCCUGCCGGUGGGCUUNGCUCGCAAGGGCGGCCCAACUCAAUCCUGCCGCGGUGCUCUUCAUUGAGUGUCGAGGUGGGCCGGCACGUUUACUUUGAACAAAUUAGAGUGCUUAAAGCAGGCUAAAACUUCGCCUGAAUACUGUGUGCAUGGAAUAAUGGAAUAGGACCUCGGUUCUAUUUUGUUGGUUUUCGGAACCCCGAGGUAAUGAUUAAUAGGAACGGAUGGGGGCAUUCGUAUUGCGACGUUAGAGGUGAAAUUCUUGGAUCGUCGCAAGACGGACAGAAGCGAAAGCAUUUGCCAAAAACGCUUUCAUUGAUCAAGAACGAAAGUUAGAGGUUCGAAGGCGAUCAGAUACCGCCCUAGUUCUAACCAUAAACGAUGCCAGCNAGCGAUCCGUCGACGUUCCUCCGAUGACUCGACNGGCAGCUUCCGGGAAACCAAAGCUUUUGGGUUCCGGGGGAAGUAUGGUUGCAAAGCUGAAACUUAAAGGAAUUGACGGAAGGGCACCACCAGGAGUGGAGCCUGCGGCUUAAUUUGACUCAACACGGGAAACCUCACCAGGCCCGGACACCGGAAGGAUUNACAGAUUGAGAGCUCUUUCUUGAUUCGGUGGGUGGUGGUGCAUGGCCGUNCUUAGUUGGUGGAGCGAUUUGUCUGGUUAAUUCCGAUAACGAACGAGACUCUAGCCUGCUAACUAGGCGUAUUUUGACAUCCUAAAGGCCCGCCGGCUUGGGG